AUGAACGCUAGCUACAGGCUUAACACAUGCAAGUCGAGGGGCAGCAUUUCAGUUUGCUUGCAAACUGGAGAUGGCGACCGGCGCACGGGUGAGUAACACGUAUCCAACCUGCCGAUAACUCGGGGAUAGCCUUUCGAAAGAAAGAUUAAUACCCGAUGGUAUAAUCAGACCGCAUGGUCUUGUUAUUAAAGAAUUUCGGUUAUCGAUGGGGAUGCGUUCCAUUAGGCAGUUGGUGAGGUAACGGCUCACCAAACCUUCGAUGGAUAGGGGUUCUGAGAGGAAGGUCCCCCACAUUGGAACUGAGACACGGUCCAAACUCCUACGGGAGGCAGCAGUGAGGAAUAUUGGUCAAUGGGCGCAGGCCUGAACCAGCCAAGUAGCGUGAAGGAUGACUGCCCUAUGGGUUGUAAACUUCUUUUAUAUGGGAAUAAAGUUUUCCACGUGUGGAAUUUUGUAUGUACCAUAUGAAUAAGGAUCGGCUAACUCCGUGCCAGCAGCCGCGGUAAUACGGAGGAUCCGAGCGUUAUCCGGAUUUAUUGGGUUUAAAGGGAGCGUAGGUGGACAGUUAAGUCAGUUGUGAAAGUUUGCGGCUCAACCGUAAAAUUGCAGUUGAUACUGGCUGUCUUGAGUACAGUAGAGGUGGGCGGAAUUCGUGGUGUAGCGGUGAAAUGCUUAGAUAUCACGAAGAACUCCGAUUGCGAAGGCAGCUCACUGGACUGCAACUGACACUGAUGCUCGAAAGUGUGGGUAUCAAACAGGAUUAGAUACCCUGGUAGUCCACACAGUAAACGAUGAAUACUCGCUGUUUGCGAUAUACAGUAAGCGGCCAAGCGAAAGCAUUAAGUAUUCCACCUGGGGAGUACGCCGGCAACGGUGAAACUCAAAGGAAUUGACGGGGGCCCGCACAAGCGGAGGAACAUGUGGUUUAAUUCGAUGAUACGCGAGGAACCUUACCCGGGCUUAAAUUGCAUUUGAAUAUAUUGGAAACAGUAUAGCCGUAAGGCAAAUGUGAAGGUGCUGCAUGGUUGUCGUCAGCUCGUGCCGUGAGGUGUCGGCUUAAGUGCCAUAACGAGCGCAACCCUUAUCUUUAGUUACUAACAGGUCAUGCUGAGGACUCUAGAGAGACUGCCGUCGUAAGAUGUGAGGAAGGUGGGGAUGACGUCAAAUCAGCACGGCCCUUACGUCCGGGGCUACACACGUGUUACAAUGGGGGGUACAGAAGGCAGCUACCUGGUGACAGGAUGCUAAUCCCAAAAGCUCUCUCUCAGUUCGGAUCGAAGUCUGCAACCCGACUUCGUGAAGCUGGAUUCGCUAGUAAUCGCGCAUCAGCCAUGGCGCGGUGAAAUACGUUCCCGGGCC
RNAcentral lists this ribosomal RNA (1359 nucleotides) under uncultured bacterium. Its description in RNAcentral is "16S ribosomal RNA". It matches the Rfam family "Bacterial small subunit ribosomal RNA", at positions 29 to 1380 of the family's 1533-position model. The record is from RNAcentral.